AUGGGUUCCAAAGAAACGCUCUGUCGUAUCCGUACUAUUCUUUGCUUGUUGCUUCUCUUCUGCGUGAGCUGCAAAUGUUCGGCAUCAGAAUUUGAGAUCACACAAGUGGCACGCCUUGGUGUUGAUGCCUCAUCGCACCUUGCUCGAAAGAUCCCUGAUACGCUGUUUGGAAUAUUUUUUGAGGAGAUCAACCAUGCAGGAGCUGGUGGAAUAUGGGCAGAGCUUGUUAGUAAUAGAGGUUUUGAAGCUGGAGGCCCCCAUACUCCAUCAAAUAUUGAACCAUGGUCCAUCAUUGGAGAUGACUCUUCCAUAUUUGUGGGAACAGACCGCACGUCAUGUUUCAGGCGAAACAAGGUUGCUCUAAGAAUGGAGGUUCUCUGUGAUAACUGCCCAGUUGGCGGUGUUGGCAUUUACAACCCUGGGUUCUGGGGCAUGAACAUAGAGGAUGGGAAGACCUACAAUCUAGUUAUGCAUGCCAAGUCACCAGAAAUGAUAGAAAUGACAGUUUCACUAACAAGCUCUGACGGAUUACGAGUUCUGGCUUCAGCUGCCAUACGAGUACCUGGCGGAUCGAAUUGGAUAAAAUUGGACCAGAAGUUGGUUGCUCAAGGAACAGACAGAACCUCAAGACUUCAAAUAACAGCUAAGACAAAGGGAGUUGUAUGGCUUGAUCAAGUAUCACUCAUGCCUUCGGAUACAUACAAGGGGCACGGUUUCCGCACAGAACUCAUAUCCAUGCUUUUGGAUUUAAAACCCCGGUUCUUGAGAUUCCCUGGAGGUUGCUUUGUUGAAGGCAGUUGGUUAAGAAACGCAUUCAGAUGGAGGGACUCUAUAGGUCCAUGGGAAGAGAGGCCUGGACACUAUGGGGAUGUCUGGAAUUACUGGACCGAUGAUGGCCUCGGAUAUUAUGAGUUUCUUCAGCUUUCUGAAGUUCUCGGUGCUGCCCCAGUCUGGGUAUUCAACAAUGGAAUCAGCCACCAUGAUGAAGUUGAUACUACUGCUAUUGCUCCUUUCGUAAAGGAUAUACUGGACAGUCUAGAAUUUGCAAGGGGGAGUGCAGAAUCAACAUGGGGUUCUGUUAGAGCUGCAAUGGGGCAUCCUGAACCAUUCCCAGUCAAAUAUGUUGCAAUCGGAAAUGAAGAUUGUGGGAAAGAAAAUUACCGUGGUAACUACCUUAAGUUCUACAAUGCUAUAAGAGAGGCCUAUCCAGACAUUCAGAUGAUUUCAAAUUGUGAUGGUUCAUCUGGACCACUUGACCAUCCUGCUGAUCUAUAUGAUUUCCAUGUCUAUACCGGUUCCAGGGCACUAUUUUCCAUGAAGAAUACAUUUGACAAUACCUCUCGUAGUGGACCCAAGGCUUUUGUUAGCGAGUAUGCUGUUACAGGAAACGACGCCGGCAGAGGAAGUCUUCUUGCUUCAUUGGCAGAGGCCGCUUUCCUUACUGGGCUGGAGAAGAAUAGUGAUGUUGUUCAUAUGGCAAGCUAUGCACCGCUCUUCAUAAAUGAUAACGACCGCACGUGGAACCCAGACGCUAUCGUCUUCAACUCCUGGCAGCAAUAUGGAACUCCCAGUUACUGGAUGCAGAAGCUUUUCCGUGAAUCAAGCGGUGCUACGAUCCAUCCCAUCAGUCUCAGUUCAAGCUGCUCUGGUUCGCUGGCAGCAUCCGCGAUCACGUGGCAUGAUGACGAUAACAGCUUCCUGAGAGUGAAGAUUGUGAACUUCGGGCCAGAUGCCGUGAGCCUUACGAUCUCGGCAACUGGGCUCCAGAGCAGCAUCAAUGCGCUCGGAUCCACCGCCACCGUUCUCACAUCUGGCAGUGUAAUGGACGAGAACUCUUUCGCUAACCCAAACAAGGUUGUGCCGGUGACGAUCGAGUUGCGUAACGCGUCGGAGGAGAUGGAGGUCACGCUGCCUCCCCACUCUCUGAGUGCAUUCGACCUGGCGCUGGCGCAGUCCAGGCUUGUAGCGGAGAUGUGA
Molecule: ribosomal RNA, 1977 nt
Filed under: Triticum aestivum (bread wheat)
Lineage: Eukaryota; Viridiplantae; Streptophyta; Magnoliopsida; Poales; Poaceae
Description: partial small subunit ribosomal RNA
Source: RNAcentral